CGACUUCGAUUUGUUGAGGACAAAUAAAGUGGAUGUGGCUGUCAAUUCCUCCCGCAGUCAGGAUCGUUCCUUCGCCGGCAAUGACUUCUGUGCCGGGGCCGAUAAUGAUAUCUACGUUGUCUUGAAUGUAGGGGUUUCCGGCUUUACCAAUUUUCUCAAUUUUGCCAUUUUUAAUGCCAAUAUCUGCUUUAACAAUUCCCCACCAAUCUAAGAUUAAAGCAUUAGUAAUUACGGUGUCAACGGCUCCGUCAGCGUUAGAAAUGGGGGAUUGUCCCAUGCCAUCUCUG
This is a small RNA of 287 nucleotides. It matches the Rfam family "5' ureB small RNA". The record is from Rfam.